CACUACUGUCCUGGCUUGAGGUGAUGCUGAAUACACAAGGACAAUGAGAGAUCAUCUCUAACAGGAGCGGACGGUUGUAACUGGCCUCCACAUUAUAGCUGGUCACAAACCGGAUCUUCAAGAAACUCGUGGAAGCUGAAAACUCCAGUUCCCCAAGCAGUUCCGUGGGAGGAGAGGAAUGAAGCAGAACGGAUACAGCACUCGUGGUGGGUGCCGAUAAACCCUUCCCGAGCUGGCUGCCAGGGUCUGAAAAGGCAACAGCUGCCUCAAAUAUCUAUCUUCGAGCCGCAGCCUUGUGCUCAGCCCAAAACUUCGUGCCACCACCGCCAGCAAGGUACAGAGCCUGGUGCUUCCCCAAACCUGCUUUGAGCAGUGACCUCUGCUGGCUCCAAAGACCCCAUCUUCAUCUACCUCCUGACUAACUCUGCUGCAGCCCUGAGUUUUGCAAGAGCAGAAAGGUGAGGUCUUCUGCAAUAUAUUUUGUGUCUUCUGACAUCAGUGUGGUGUAGGUUCUGCUCUCUCUCAGGCUGCUUUCUCAGGCACAGGCAAGCUGCACAGUUUGUUUAUACUACAGGUUUGUCCAAAGCUGAUAUGCCAGAUGCAAAUCUCUACCAUGAGUCUGCAAUAUUCUGAUGUGAGAACAUCCGCUUACAACACAAGAGCCUGGCAAACCACAUUCCAGAACCAGACCUGGGCCAUCAACUGUGUACCUCUUCACAGCAGCAGUGGAAAUAAUUUCAGAUACCCUUAACUCCAGCUAACCUGCAGGGAGAAGCAGAUGGUUCUCAAGGUUACCAGAAUGCUAUCAGACCCACUUGUGCGUGUGGUACGCAAUCCAGCACGAGGAUGCAGCUCAGCUUUGAGAUGGUUAAAUGGAUGAGAAAUAAUAUCAAGGCUUGAGGGAUCCAAUUUAACUGCAGGUACAACAAAGCCAACUGUAAAAAAGACUUUAUUUUUUCCCCUUUAUACUCAGAAUGCAGAAAAGAACUUGAGGGACUCUUCCUGUAUCUCAGAGGUUUCACAGACUGAUUAUUUUUAUGUGAAGACAGAAGUAUAUAAAAGGACUUGAAAUACCAGCAUGGUUUGCCAGAGGAACAUAAUUAUUCCCAA
Molecule: long non-coding RNA, 1110 nt
Organism: Pezoporus occidentalis (night parrot)
Lineage: Eukaryota; Metazoa; Chordata; Aves; Psittaciformes; Psittacidae
Exons: 5
Source: RefSeq, a predicted model, not a curated record